RNAcentral lists this ribosomal RNA (1118 nucleotides) under Clostridioides difficile. Its description in RNAcentral is "partial 23S ribosomal RNA". It matches the Rfam family "Bacterial large subunit ribosomal RNA", at positions 401 to 1527 of the family's 2925-position model. Lineage: Bacteria; Bacillati; Bacillota; Clostridia; Peptostreptococcales; Peptostreptococcaceae. The record is from RNAcentral.
UAUGAUCCAGAGUACCACGGGACACGUGAAACCCUGUGGGAAGCAGGAGGGACCACCCUCCAAGGCUAAAUACUACCUAGUGACCGAUAGCGUAUAGUACCGUGAGGGAAAGGUGAAAAGAACCCCGGGAGGGGAGUGAAAUAGAACCUGAAACCCUGCACUUACAAGCUGUGGAAGCACAUUUCUUGUGUGACCGCGUACUUUUUGUAGAACGGGCCAACGAGUUACGUUAAGUAGCAAGGUUAAGCACUUAAGGUGCGGAGCCGUAGCGAAAGCGAGUUUUAACUGAGCGUUCAGUUACUUGACGUAGACCCGAAACCGGGCGACCUACCCAUGAGCAGGAUGAAGCGAAAGUAAAAUUUCGUGGAGGUCCGAACCCACGAGCGUUGAAAAGCUCGGGGAUGACUUGUGGGUAGCGGUGAAAUUCCAAUCGAGCCCGGAGAUAGCUGGUUCUCCCCGAAAUAGCUUUAGGGCUAGCCUCAAGGUGAGAGAUACGGAGGUAGAGCACUGAAUGUCCUAGGGGGUAUUGCACCUACCGAAGACUAUCAAACUCCGAAUGCCGUCAUCUUAUACUUGGGAGUCAGACUGUGGGUGAUAAGAUUCAUAGUCGAAAGGGCAACAGCCCAGAUCGUCAGCUAAGGUCCCUAAAUGUAAGUUAAGUGGUAAAGGAUGUGGGAUUGCACAGACAACCAGGAUGUUGGCUUAGAAGCAGCCACUCAUUCAAAGAGUGCGUAAUAGCUCACUGGUCGAGUGAUCCUGCGCCGAAGAUUUCCGGGGCUAAAACUUACUACCGAAGCUACGGCAUCAGUAAUGAUGGGUAGGGGAGCUUCCCAUACGGGUUGAAGCAUGACCGUAAGGACAUGUGGACAGUAUGGGAGUGAGAAUGUUGGCAUGAGUAGCGAGAUGUGGGUGAGAAUCCCACAGGCCGUAAACCCAAGGUUUCCAGGGGAAGGUUCGUCCGCCCUGGGUUAGUCGGGACCUAAGCUGAGGCCGGAAGGCGUAGGUGAUGGACAACAGGUUGAUAUUCCUGUACUACCGAUAACCAUUUGAGAGAUGGGAUGACACAGUAGGAUAAGCUAAGCACACUGUUGGUUAUGUGUGCCCAAGCAUUGAGGCAG